CCUGGUGGCUCAGAGUGUAAAGCGUCUGCCUGCAAUGCAGGAGACCUGGGUUUGAUCCCUGAGUCAGGA
Molecule: transfer RNA, 69 nt
Filed under: Ovis aries (sheep)
Lineage: Eukaryota; Metazoa; Chordata; Mammalia; Artiodactyla; Bovidae
Rfam family: tRNA
About the family: Transfer RNA (tRNA) molecules are approximately 80 nucleotides in length. Their secondary structure includes four short double-helical elements and three loops (D, anti-codon, and T loops).
Source: Rfam by way of RNAcentral